RNAcentral lists this non-coding RNA (757 nucleotides) under Asilus crabroniformis. Lineage: Eukaryota; Metazoa; Arthropoda; Insecta; Diptera; Asilidae. The record is from RNAcentral.
UGAAAUUGAUUUAUUUAAAGUUUUAUUUUGGCUUUAUGUUAGUUUUUAUUUUGUUUUAUAUGAAAAUUUUUGUGAGUAUUUAUUAUUUUCUUGAAGAUUAUGAUACAUUUAUUUUAGUUGCAGUGAUUAGGUUUGUACUUUAGAUCACUCUAGAGGCAGCAAUUAUAGAUAGCGUUGGCUAAAUUUGUGCCAGCAGCCGCGGUUAGACAAAGAGCGCAAAUUAAUUGUUUCGGCAGGAAUAAAGUUGUUUACUGGUUAUUAUAUUUAAUUUUUUUAGGUGAAAUUUUAAAAUUAUAGGAUGCCUGUUUUUAUUAACUUAUUUCAUAAAUUUUGAUUUUUAAACUAGGAUUAGAUACCCUAUUAUUUUAAUAUGUAUAUUUGUUAUGCCUAGGUAGUAUUAGUUAUGGUCUUGAAACUUAAAAAAUUUGGCGGUAUUCUAGUCUGUUCAGAGGAACUUGUUCUGUAAUCGAUAGUCCACGUUGGACCUUGCUUAGUCUUGUUUUCAGUUUGUAUACCGCCGUUAUUGAGUAUUUUAUUAGAAUAAUAAUUUUCAAUUACCUUUAUUAAGGUUGAUAUCAGGUCAAGGUGCAGCUUAUGAUUAAGAUUGCAAUGAGUUACAAUAAAUUUAUUUAUACGGAUGUUAGAUUUAAACUUCUGACUGAAGGUGGAUUUGAUAGUAAACUUACUUAGAUAGGUAAUUUGAUUUUGGCUCUAGGAUAUGUACACAUCGCCCGUCACUCUUAUUUCUAAAGUAAGA